Molecule: long non-coding RNA, 497 nt
Filed under: Phasianus colchicus (ring-necked pheasant)
Lineage: Eukaryota; Metazoa; Chordata; Aves; Galliformes; Phasianidae
Description: lncRNA (ENSPCLG00000005782.1)
Source: RNAcentral
AUGCUAGACCAGGCUGCCCAGGGCCCCAUCCAACCUGGCCUUGAACACCUCCAGGGAUUGGGGCAUCCACAACCUCUCUGGAUCGUCUUUUAUGAAUACUGCACCGCUGUUUUAAGAAAAGACAAAUACAAGGAGGGAAAAAACAGAACCUCUGCGAUUCUUCUUUUUCCCUACGAAGUGUUAUGGGUGAAGGCUGUGGAGAAUCGUGGGUUUCCCCAGUUCAGACUUGAACCUCCCACCAAUUAUGUGACCUUCAGGCUAUGGGUAUUGAUGUAGGUACACAGCCACAAUCUCAGAUUACGUUGUACCUGCACCUUCACUUCUGCCAGUACUACUUGCUGCACUCAUCCAGCUUCAAAGAGACUCUACUGGGGGAAAGAUUGCACCCAAGGACCUCCAUCCAAUGCCAGGUGGGAGGAAUGUUGUUGAGAGAGUUGUAGGUUAACAUCAGCAUCUGUUGUAGGCCUUCAAUUCCUUUUUAGAUUCCUUUGUAUUUG